This 479-nucleotide ribosomal RNA is filed under the name uncultured bacterium. RNAcentral describes it as "bacterial SSU rRNA". It matches the Rfam family "Bacterial small subunit ribosomal RNA", at positions 28 to 516 of the family's 1533-position model. The record is from RNAcentral.
GAUGAACGCUAGCGGCAGGCUUAAUACAUGCAAGUCGAGGGGCAGCGGGAGUAGCAAUACUUGCCGGCGACCGGCGCACGGGUGCGUAACACGUAUGUAAUCUGCCCAUCACAGGAGGAUAGCCCGGAGAAAUUCGGAUUAAUACUCCAUAAUAGAAGAUAAAGCAUUUUAUUUUCUUGAAAGUUCCGACGGUGAUGGAUGAACAUGCGACUGAUUAGUUUGUUGGUGAGGUAACGGCUCACCAAGACUACGAUCAGUAGGGGUACUGAGAGGUUAAACCCCCACACUGGUACUGAGACACGGACCAGACUCCUACGGGAGGCAGCAGUAAGGAAUAUUGGACAAUGGCCGCAAGGCUGAUCCAGCCAUGCCGCGUGCAGGAUGAAGGCCCCUGGGUCGUAAAACUGCUUUUUAANAAGUGAAGAAUAUGAACGGUAACUUAUAGAAAUAAGGAUCGGACUAACUACGUGCCAGCAGCC